Triticum aestivum (bread wheat) is the source of this 1425-nucleotide RNA transcript. It is a transcript of the gene named (R)-specific enoyl-CoA hydratase, with no coding region annotated. The record is from RefSeq and is a predicted model, not a curated record. NCBI's taxonomy places the organism in Eukaryota, Viridiplantae, Streptophyta, Magnoliopsida, Poales, Poaceae. The transcript is spliced from 8 exons.
CACCCUCUCACCCCACGAACCCCUAGCUCCAGAUCCGCACCCCGCCGCUCUCACCCUCGUCUCCCACAUCGCCGCCGCCACCCACGCCGAUCCCAUCCCUCCCCUUGUCUCCCUCCCAAACCUUGCCGCCGGCGGCCUCUCCCCCUCCUCUCCUCUCCCCCACCUCAGGCGGAGCCCCCCACCUAUCCAUCUCUCUCCAGCGACCCCUCUCUCUCCCCUGGGACUCAUCUUCGCCGCUAGGGUUUGCGGUGGCUUUGCCCCACGCUCGCCACGUCUCUCCGGCAACCAGGACACAACGACGUCGACGGGAUCUGAUGGGUGUGUUGCUCCGGCGCUGUUCCGGUGAUCCGAACGACGCCUUCGCGCGCGGGACGGGUGGGUUCCAGCGCGGCCGCGUGGUGCACGGCAUGCUCGUCGCCUCCCUCUUCCCCGCCCUCAUCACCUCCCACGCCCCUGGUGCCAUGUACGCGAGCCAGUCCCUCAAGUUCGCGGCGCCCGUGCACGUCAGAGACGAGGUGGUCGCGCAGGUGCAGGCGCUGCACAUCAAGGCAACCGGCGCAAGGCACAUGUACUACUACCACUACUACAUAGCGCCAUUUUUUAUCUCCUCUUCUUUCUAGCAUUGUGCCUGCUGAGAACUAAUAGUGAUGCUACAUCUGUUGGGCAACGUCAAGUUCGCCACCAAGUGCUUGACGGACGAUGAGGAGACUCUCGCCAUUGAUGGCGAGGCCAUGGCUUUUUCUGCCCACGCUGCAGCUCAGCGCAGAGGCAAUCGAGUGACAAACUCGCGGUGAAGAAGAGAAAGCCGAGAAGGACUCCAACAAGCUUAGGUGCCCCUGAGUGCCUUCUUAGUCUUCAUGGACAGCUUCAGGAAGGACUCCAACAUCAAGCAGGUCUCCAUGGUUGGCAAGGCCGGUGGUGAGAAGUGGAAGUGUCUUGAGUGAUGCUAAGGAGAAGUCUCCCUAUGUUGCGAAGGUUGAGAUGCUCAAGGCCGAGUACACCAAGAAGAUCGAUGCUUACAACUACCCAUAGGCAGGAGAAGCGUCGAGCAAAUCUGACAAGUCCAAGUCUGAGGUGAGCGACAAGGACGAUGUCAACGAGGGUGGCUAAUGAUGCGGCACACCAAGCAGAAAUGGGGGAAGGGGGUCUUUGGAAUGUCGCUGUUGCCGCUUAUUGCUGAAGUCACCAAUUUAUGAUGGAUGGUCAUUGUUAGUUUAGCUCCUUGGUAGUCCCUCUUUCAAGCGGCUGUAGCUGGUAGAAAUGGUAGCUACUAUGUCCCAUGCAGUUCAUGUUCUCAGACUGCCCUUUGUUGCUUCAUUUUGAUGUCAAUUUAGUCUCCGUUGAGUGUACCUAUUGUGUGCUCGUGGCUGUUUCAAAAGUCCUUCCAUGUUGAAAGAAAUAAAAUGCUCUCAAUACUUGUUCGAA